This 360-nucleotide ribosomal RNA is filed under the name uncultured bacterium. RNAcentral's name for it is "bacterial SSU rRNA". It matches the Rfam family "Bacterial small subunit ribosomal RNA", at positions 29 to 417 of the family's 1533-position model. The record is from RNAcentral.
AACGAACGCUGGCGGCAGGCCUAACACAUGCAAGUCGAACGCCGUAGCAAUACGGAGUGGCAGACGGGUGAGUAACACGUGGGAACGUACCCUUCGGUUCGGAAUAACUCAGGGAAACUUGAGCUAAUACCGGAUACGUCCGAGAGGAGAAAGAUUUAUCGCCGAGGGAUCGGCCCGCGUCUGAUUAGCUUGUUGGUGAGGUAACGGCUCACCAAGGCGACGAUCAGUAGCUGGUCGAGAGGAUGAUCAGCCACAUUGGGACUGAGACACGGCCCAAACUCCUACGGGAGGCAGCAGUGGGGAAUAUUGGACAAUGGGCGCAAGCCUGAUCCAGCCAUGCCGCGUGAGUGAUGAAGGCCC